Argentina anserina (silverweed cinquefoil) is the source of this 1296-nucleotide long non-coding RNA. RefSeq lists it as uncharacterized. NCBI's taxonomy places the organism in Eukaryota, Viridiplantae, Streptophyta, Magnoliopsida, Rosales, Rosaceae. The record is from RefSeq and is a predicted model, not a curated record. The transcript is spliced from 4 exons.
UUUCGCUCAAAUAAUUAAUUAAGUUAACUAUCCCUUGUAAACUAAUAUUGUUUUCCCUUUUGUUUUCUUGGGGUUAUUCCCAAUCGACAUCAUUUCUUCUUCUUCUUCGACCUUUAUGCAAGAUUGUCUCAAAUUUCAAUCAAGAAUUAGAUUGGUGAGGUUAUCCGAUAAAAGGGAGAUUACGGAUCUUUAUUUAGUUUUCUGAGUUUUGGGAAUGAAAAAGAUGUGAUUUUCCCCAAAGGAGGAGGUUGCAGAUGCUCGAUCAGAUUAGCCUAGUCGGCAUUAAUCAAAGUACAACCAGUUCCAAGCCAGAGAAGAUAGCCCUGAAGUUCCAUUGCAAAAUUAGAUGAGGAAGUGCAGCUCGCACUUUUCGCACUAUGCUCACUCUAAGGCUCUGGAGAUAAUCAAGUUAUCAAAGCAGAUUAAAGAGAAGUUUGAAGAGGUUGAUAGAUUGGGUAUUUCUAUUCUUUCUGGAUUUAUUGUGUUGCUUCUAUGUCUGUUAUGAGUACAAUUUCUUCUUUAUUAUUAUUAUGUGCUACGAUUUCAUAUUGUGAUUCAACCAAUAUGUAACAUUAUGUCCCCUUAACACACACUAGAUUGGUAUCUCUACCAUGACUAGUCUGUGUACGUUUCCAAGGUGGGCUAACUAAUCAUGCACCAGAAACUACAUCGUUGUUCAUAGUUGUUGAAAUUGAAUUAAGUAAACUAUAAAUGUAUGAUUUGGUUAUGUUACAUGGUAUUAUCAUACGUACUUGAUUUGUUCUGCUAUUUUUUUAUAAGGUAACUCUCACUAUUGUAUCACAUGUUAAUAGCCAAAUCAAAGGGAGUCCAUGAUACCUUUUGUCUUAUAGGUCCAUAUAUGCACAUUUUUAACUUUUUCUCAUUCUUUUGAGUUUUGUUUAUGGGGUUGAUAUAUUCUUAUAAUUGAAAAUAUGUUUUAGUUCAUACAGUUCUCUCGACCAUUGCCCUAGGAACGUGAUAAACUAACCUCCUUGCAGCAGUUGAGACAUGAAGGCACAUUGCUUGAAGGACCAAUUUGUUGCCAUGAAGGUUGAUUUAAAGAACACAUAGCAUGUAGCAACAACUAACUAAGAGAGCAUGUUUGAAUAUAUUGCCUUAACAAUUACAUGAAUGGAGUAGCCAUUUCUAUUGUGAACCUUGUAAGUAGGAUGUUUUGUUAUGGUUUGAUCAAGGUUCUACAAAGCGCUAGGCGGUAUGUAAGCGGAUAGCCACCUCCUAGCGCCUAGACGGUUAGGCGGCCUCCUAGGCGGUUUUGAAUUAUUAAAUAUUUAUUUA